GGGUGAGUAACACGUAUCCAACCUGCCUCAUACUCGGGGAUAGCCUUUCGAAAGAAAGAUUAAUAUCCGAUAGCAUAUAUUUCCCGCAUGGGUUUUAUAUUAAAGAAAUUCGGUAUGAGAUGGGGAUGCGUUCCAUUAGUUUGUUGGGGGGGUAACGGCCCACCAAGACUACGAUGGAUAGGGGUUCUGAGAGGAAGGUCCCCCACAUUGGAACUGAGACACGGUCCAAACUCCUACGGGAGGCAGCAGUGAGGAAUAUUGGUCAAUGGACGCGAGUCUGAACCAGCCAAGUAGCGUGAAGGAUGACUGCCCUAUGGGUUGUAAACUUCUUUUAUAUGGGAAUAAAGUUGUCCACGUGUGGAUUUUUGUAUGUACCAUAUGAAUAAGGAUCGGCUAACUCCGUGCCAGCAGCCGCGGUAAUACGGAGGAUCCGAGCGUUAUCCGGAUUUAUUGGGUUUAAAGGGAGCGUAGGCGGAUUGUUAAGUCAGUUGUGAAGUUUGCGGCUCAACCGUAAAAUUGCAGUUGAUACUGGCAGUCUUGAGUGCAGUAGAGGUGGGCGGUAUUCGUGGUGUAGCGGUGUUAUGCUUAGAUAUCACGAAGACUCCGAUUGCGAAGGCAGUUCACUGGAGUGUAACUG
Molecule: ribosomal RNA, 637 nt
Filed under: uncultured Bacteroidales bacterium
Lineage: Bacteria; Pseudomonadati; Bacteroidota; Bacteroidia; Bacteroidales
Description: bacterial SSU rRNA
Rfam family: Bacterial small subunit ribosomal RNA
Source: RNAcentral